Molecule: small RNA, 100 nt
Filed under: Pongo abelii (Sumatran orangutan)
Lineage: Eukaryota; Metazoa; Chordata; Mammalia; Primates; Hominidae
Description: processed transcript
Source: RNAcentral
AUAAAGGCUGAUGGGCCCAGGGAUGGAGGACAAGAAAGAUGACAAGGACUCGCCCAAGAAGAACAAGGGCAAGGAGCGCCGGGACCUGGAUGACCUCAAG